Molecule: ribosomal RNA, 491 nt
Filed under: uncultured bacterium
Lineage: Bacteria
Description: bacterial SSU rRNA
Rfam family: Bacterial small subunit ribosomal RNA
Source: RNAcentral
GACGAACGCUGGCGGCGUGCCUAACACAUGCAAGUCGAGCGGAGAUGUACUGAAGAUUUAUCGGAUGUACAUCUUAGCGGCGGACGGGUGAGUAACGCGUGGGCAACCUGCCUUUCACUGGGGGAUAACACAGGGAAACCUGUGCUAAUACCGCAUGACAUCACGUAGGGCAUCCUAUGUGAUCAAAGGAGAGAUCCGGUGGAAGAUGGGCCCGCGUCCAAUUAGCUGGUUGGUGGGGUAACGGCCUACCAAGGCGACGAUCAGUAGCCGACCUGAGAGGGUGAUCGGCCACAUUGGAACUGAGACACGGUCCAAACUCCUACGGGAGGCAGCAGUGGGGAAUAUUGCACAAUGGGCGAAAGCCUGAUGCAGCAACGCCGCGUGAGCGAAGAAGGCCUUUGGGUCGUAAAGCUCUGUCGGGUAGGAAGAUAAUGACGGUACUACCCGAGGAAGCCCCGGCUAACUACGUGCCAGCAGCCGCGGUAAUCAUA